CAUCGCCGCGGGAACACGUAGGUGGCAAGCGUUGUCCGGAAUUAUUGGGCGUAAAGCGCGCGCAGGCGGAUCAGUCAGUCUGUCUUAAAAGUUCGGGGCUUAACCCCGUGAUGGGAUGGAAACUGCCAAUCUAGAGUAUCGGAGAGGAAGGUGGAAUUCCUAGUGUAGCGGUGAAAUGCGUAGAUAUUAGGAAGAACACCAGUGGCGAAGGCGACUUUCUGGACGAAAACUGACGCUGAGGCGCGAAAGCCAGGGGAGCGAACGGGAUUAGAUACCCCCGUAGUCCCUGUCUCUUAUACAC
RNAcentral lists this ribosomal RNA (301 nucleotides) under uncultured bacterium. RNAcentral's name for it is "partial 16S ribosomal RNA". It matches the Rfam family "Bacterial small subunit ribosomal RNA", at positions 512 to 810 of the family's 1533-position model. The record is from RNAcentral.